AAUCUGAAACAUUUAAGUGUGACCAAAAAAAAAGAAAUCAGGAAGGGGGCAAACACUUUUGCACACCACUGUAUAUGAGUCUGGACAGACAUGGAUCUAAACUGCAAUUCUACACUUCUUAAAAUUUGUCUUACAAUAGGAAGCCAUCUUUAAAGUUGAAAAUGGGUCUCUGUUGUGGGUAUUAAAAGUAUCUGUAUCUCAAACUCUUUUUUUAUGAGAAAGUCAGUUAAGAUAUUUGUUUUAAACUAUGGUCAAAGAUUAGGAAAACAUUAAAAUUUUUAGGAAUAUGGUUUGACGUGUUGAAGACAUGGAAAAAUCUUCCCGGCAAAAUAUAAGAUAAAUGUAAAAUAGUCUUGAAUGUUAUGAGAUGCUGGAUGGGCACUGCUUGGGGAGCAAUAUUUAUAUUGCUUUUAUUAGGUCAGUUCUAGAUUAUGGUUGUAUUGUAUUUGAAUCAGCUGCGUUCACAUCCCUAUAAAGUUUAAACAGAAUUCAGACUCAAUCGUUACAGUUGUGUUGUGGGGCAGUCAAGUCAACGCUGCUGUCAGCCGCUUCAGGUGGAAGUUGGGGAAAUUCCUCUUCAUCUAAGAAGCAAACAAUUAAUAAUCAAUUAUUAGGCAAACCUGUAGGGCCAUUAAGAUUUACACCUUACAUAAAGGUUUAAAAAAGUGUGUUUAUAACCUUUUGAUUAGGUGUGUUUUUGUGUUAUUUCAGAUAUAACUAAGGAAUUAUGAAUCCACGAUUAGAACAUUAGUCGGUGACAUCUUUUAAAUCACUUCUCAAAACGUAUCUUUUUAAAAAUCUUUUUAGUAAAGUUAGCACACCAGUUUCACUGUAUUUCCAACAUGUCUUAUCUGUUUUAUUAUUAAGUGUCAGAUUUUAUUUUCCUGAAAUGCAGUCCUGAAAUGUUUAGUCCUGGUUCAACCAUGUAAAGCAUUUGGUCACUUUCUUUUGAAAAGUGCUGUAUAAAUAAUGUUUAUUAUUAUUAUUACGUACAUACAGGUGGGUCUAAAAACCCUGAUAAUGGUAAAACAAGUUGUGCAUUUUAUGUUCCAGAGUUAAAAGCUAAGGUGACAAAGAGAACUGACAAUAUAGCAGUAUAUUCAGUUUAAAUGAUGGUGAUUUAAUUCACUCUACUGUGGAUAGAGGAAAUCAAAUCCCUGCCAAUUCUAAUAUGCUCAGACUCAAAGUGCAGCCCUGGCUAAUCUCAAACCUACUUCUUCAAGAUGUAGACAGGAUAUUCUUUAUGAAAUAUUGCAAUCUUUAUAUACAAUUAUUAGGUUAGGAAUUGAUGUACAUUUGUUAUAGGUAUCAGCUCAUGUUGGUGUUCAAGGGAAUGAAACAGUAGAUCAACGUUCCAAAAAGUGGAUUAAAAGCAAAUCAAUACCAGUAAGUAAGGCAGAAACCAAAAACUAAGACGCAGUGGCAGAGGUUAUGGGAUGGAGAACUGACAGGAAGGCAUUUUUAGCAGAUACAGCAAGAAGUGGAAGUGGGAAGGUCACUUGAAAGAAGAGUGUCGGAUAAAUCGGAUUAGACUGGGACAUACUAAACUAAAUUCAUCUCUCCGCCUCAUCGGAAAGCGUCCAAGCAGAAACUGUGAUGUCUGCAAUCAAAAAGGAGACUGUGGAUGUCAUCUGUGUUUAUCCUAAAUAUGCAAAUCAAAGACUGUUAUUAAGGAACAAGCUGGAACGUCAAGGGAUUAGACACAUGGACCUUAAAACAAUCUUUGCAAACAGUUGUGGAAAUUGGACCUAGAAAUUGGACCUUUACAAGACCGAGGACUGUUAACAAGAAUAUAAGAAUUCUGUAACUACAGAAUAGCUAGAAGGCACAGCAGGGGAUGAACUUCCUGCAGCAGCUGAAGACGUGCCAAAGUCAUACAUUACAUUAAAGCAAAUCUUUGGAUUAUUAUUUUGCACAUUGCACAUAUUCUUUAUACUGUAAACAUUUGCACAUUCCUUGGUCAAUAUUUUGCACCUUCCAUCCUUCGUUUUAAACACUGCACAAGCUCUUUUCAUUUUAAAAACAGAUAUUUCACAUUUUUAAUUCAAAUGUUCUAAUUAAUAUUUAUGAUUCUUGACUCCUGCAGUACUUGUGUUUCCUUUUUAUUUUCCUUUAUCUUUAUUGUGACCGUUAUGCACCAAAAUACCAAGGCAGAUUUCUUGUACAUGACAACCUACUUGGCUAUAAACCUGUUUGUUUCUGAUUCUGAUCCAGUUGGUGGCGAUGAUGAUCCGCAAUGAACCUGCAAUUCUCCAUUAAAAGCAGAAGGAGGAGGAGAAGAAGAAGAAGAAAGGUAAUCAUGCUCCGACGUCAUGCCAAAGCUGAAGGGAAGUCAGGUGAAGUUGAUUAAAAAUAUUAAUGUGGUCAUUGUGAGUCGUCUGGAUGGGGAAAAACGUGGCCUCACACCAAACAAAGUUAAAGUUAUUUAAAUCAAGCAACCGAGAGCUAAAAAGUUAACUAGUUUUUCCCAGUAAUGGUACCAGCUGCGUGCUUUUAUAACUACUUUAGCUAGCAGCAGUGCAGGGAGGAGAUGAGCUGGACAUUUAUACAGCCUGGAUAUUAACCACUUUGCCUCAAAGAAGAAAGAAAAGAAUGACUUAUCUUCCUACCGUCCUGCUGCAGCUCGGGGGAAACCGGCUACAUCCCAGCCUCAUACAUCGAAAAAAUACGGAGCUGCUGUUGUUUCAUCGCUCCGAGCUGACAAGUCUGCUGGCAUCAUCUGUCUGCUGUGGGCGGUGGAGCAGGUGGAGAACGAGAUAUCAGAGCCAAACAGGGAAAAAGUGACAUUUCAGUGUGGGGGGCGGGGGGUUGGCAUGUUGAGCCAAGCAAGAUGCUCAGCUGGCUGGUUCUUGACCUUUGAUUCACAGCAGUUACAAUGGAUUCUAAUGGAAAUCCAGAGUCACAGUAAGAAAUGAUGUCAAUGUCCAUAGAAACUUCUCAGACUUCUUGCAGCAUACCAUAAAACUUAAAUUAAAAGCUGAGCCCCCAUUAAAUGCAGAGUACCUUUUAAUGGCCGGGUCUGGCUACACGUUUUGAUAAAUACAGGUUUCAAUUAGAUGCCGGGUCUGGUUUUUAUAGAAGUCCUUUGGAUGUAUGAAACCUCUUAAAGCCCACUGGGUCGCCUGCUUAAGCUAGUUCUAAGCUGCUUAGAUCGAUAUGGACAUGUAACGUUCAGUUCAUUUUACGGAAACCAUGAGCACCAAAGUAUAAUUCAUUCAGAUUUACCGGCAUGGUAAACAAGAGAGAUGAGAAAAAAGUGGUGAUUCCUUACCUUUUGAAGCGGUCAUAAAGUCAGAAUAUGUGUCCAUUCCUCGAUUGUUUACCGUAUUUCCCAUCUUGUGCAAAAGAAUUAAAGGCCUGUCCCAAAUAUAGGCAGGUUGAGUUCAGUGACUGAAGAAAAUAAAAGCCUGGGCUAUUAAUUAAGUUUUACGGUAAUCCACUUCUCUGCUGUUGUAUAGUCUCUUCCAAACCCUCGUAAUUUCUCCACAACAGAGCUAUAUAUGCAAAUUCUGCCUCAGAGAUCUGCUACCUGGCUUGUGCUUCAGGUUGGGUUCGUUUAUUUUCAAAUGUAAUUUACUGAGAAUUUAUCUUUCUCUCCAAGACUGAGCCAAUUGUUUGCACCUAUAUGUAUUGUAUGUUGCAAGUAGAUUCAGUGUCAGUGCCAUCCAUUAGCUUGGUGAGCUAAUGGUCAGUAAUGGAUGUAAUAAAUCAACUAUCGCCUCAGAUUGGGUUCAGGUCUCCAAUUUAGCAGCACCAGUUAGGUCAGGUUCUGGUCUCAAUUUUCUGCUCAUGCGGAAGUCCAUUGCCUCCUCAAAGUGCUGAAAGCUCCGCUUGAAGUAGGGUAUUUAGUGAUUUAUUGAAACCAGCAGGCUAAAGCAAGUCUGGGUAAACUGCAGGCCUGCCAAUUAUACUGUAUAGCUACACCAGCGAGCAGCUAACAGCUGCCUGCCAUUCAGCUAGUGUUUGUUUACAGCUGACAGCUUCCAGGUAUUAGGUCCAGGGGUCUAUUCCAGAAAACAGGUUCAACAAACUCGGAGCCUAAGCCUGAACUCUGAGUUGAUGAACGCUGAGAUGGGAAACUCAAGUGUUUUCGGUUCUAGAACAGCUGAUUUGAAUUUGUUCAAUCAACUCUGAGUAUGUUCACUCUGAAUUAAGCAUGUGCAUGAGGACUAUAAAAGGUCAUCAUCAAUGGAGCUCUGAUACUACGAUUCACCAUGGCAACAGGUAAAUAAAAUGCUGAGCCUCCAUUUUAAUCUGGACUGUGCACAUUUAUCUUUUAAGAAAAGCACCUGAGUCAGAGCAGGGAAAAAUGUCAAUAAGUUAACACAAUAGAGUUUUAUUCAGUGUUGUCCCUUAAUUCAGCAUUCACCAGACUUAUAUUUGAAAUGUAAUGUAGGCUAUGGCCUAAUACACAGUCAGAUUCCACCACUUCAUUAUCCAUUAAGGAAAUGUAUUUGUUCAGCUUUAAUCUGCCAAAACACAGGGGCCAGCAACUGAAGAUGAAAAAUAUAGUUGAAGAUUUAAAAAAUAUAGGAUAUAGAUCAAAGGCAUAGAGACGGGACUGUAGGAUCACAGUCUGAUCCAGUAAUAAUGUGUUUGAUAAAUUGCAUUUAAAAAGGCGUUGAGUUUAAAAUACAGUAGAUUGUUAAAUUUUAGACAUCUAUUUGGAUCUUGGCUCAACAGUAUUCAGCUUUAUUUCAGCUACUUCAACAAAUGUAGUAAAUUUAGUCACUGAAAUGCUGUUAAAACACGUUCAGACUAAAUGCAGCCUAUUUAAAAAAACUCAUUUUCAAACCACAUUCUGCAGCUGCACCUCGAUCCUGCUAACUCUGAACUGAAAUAUUUACACACAAUCUCCAAUAUUACAGGAAUUAUGUUCCAUCAGUGCAACCAAUCACAUUAUGAGUGAUAAAGAUAAUUAUUCAUUGAUCCUACAUGUCUAAAGCUUCAUACCGAUUUUUACACUUUAAACUGAGAUUACACAUUAUGUGCAAUAAACAUUUUAGUGGAACUGCUCUAACAAACUGACAGCUGUCUUGUGUGCAGUCAGUUUUAUAAAACCAGAAGGACAUGCAGGGUUUUAUUUCUGAGCUGACUUGCUGUGUAAUAUUUUUAAAUGUGAGGGCAAAAACCGCUGUUCAAAGACAUGACUGACAUCGCAGUAAGUAACUUUAGAUAGUCCUGAGUAACAAACUUUGACAUACAGUAAACCUCCGCUAAUUAAUAUACGCGCUUUGAUAUGGACUGAAUCAGUGAGGAAAUGAAAUAGCGUGUCCGGCUCUGUAGGAGGGAGGAGACAAAGAGAAACUCAGGGUUUGUUGAAGAAAACCUGCCAGCGAGCAGGUUAGGUUCACACAGUCACACCAAGAGUUUAAGUUACUUCUCUUUCUGGAACGGAAAACCCAGUUUCCCUCAUCUCAGGGUAAACAAACUGAGUUUUCACUAAACCUGCUUUUUGGAAUAGACUCCAGGUUCAGUUUAUUAAGUACACCUAGCUAAAACUGUCUUAAUACAACAGUCCUGCAAUAAAUCCUAUUGAAACUGUUUUUAGAGAAGUGUUGAUUCAACUUCAUGGUAAUUGUGGAGGCUGUAGUUUGUGGUGCUGUUGCACUGUAUUGUGUUAUACUGACUGAUGUUUCUAAUAUUUUGUUCUAAAUAACAAACACCUCUCUGUAUGAUGCAAUACGGUUUAACAGCACCACAAAUGUGGGUAUUGCAUCUUGUGGAUGUGCACAACCAACGCUCCAAACGGACGCAGGAUACGUGAGGCAGCCAUCAUGCGCACGCAAACACGUAGUUAAAAGCAAGUAUAUCUCGGCUGUAGACACCAACAGUUUUGACCUGUUGGUGGUGGUAAAAGAAAAGCACGGUCGCUUAAUUACACCCGCAUCACAUGUAGGUGCUACUGGAACUCAGCAUAGAUAAGUGUAAGGCAUGCACACACACUCUAAACCACAAAUUUAUUUAAAUGGACAAUGUUUAUAGUCAGAUCUUUGUCAGGCCUGAACUUGACCUAACAAGGAUUUGACUGUGAUCAAGAAACUGACCAUUUAAAUAAAUUUAUGGUUUGGAGUUAGCAUGCAGUCGUUAAACUUCUUAACCAGGAUUGAAAUGGCAGACAUUCAAGCCAAACCCUCAACAUUCGGCUCUGCUUACUGCCUGACACAAACAAGCAGUAAUUAUUCACCUGCAGUAAGACUAAGAGUGUAACAGUAAGCUGUUUAUUGACCUGUUUGACUCAUAACAGGUCAUACUGGUGUUUUCUAUGUCUUCAGCCUUCAGGAAUGUUUGUUAGACGACCUCAGUUAAGAUUUUCUCACAACAGACCAGCUGUAGUCUCGUGCUCUUUGUUUCUCAGAACAUUAUGCUGCUAAGUAUUACACAACAUGGUGGAGGUUUUUACACCAUUUUUUAGGACAUUUCCUGCAUAGAUGCAGCUAGAAAUGCUGAAUGCUGAAGUUGACAACAUUCUGUCCAAAAUGAAAUCCCCAAAGUUCAGGGAAACAGGUGAUUCGAGCUCAUUUGAAAAUUAUUGGUACCACCACAAGUCAGAAUUGACUUUCGAAUUGUACAGAUCUGACAUCAAAUAAUGACCUUCAAAUAAAUAUUUAAUUCACAAAACAAUGGAUGAAGGGGUCCAGAUUUACAAACGCUGUUCACAAAAAUGCACAACCUCCAGCUCAGUCUUCAUGCGUGACCCUGCCAUGCUUAACGUGAGCAUUGGUUUGUGCAAGUUAGAGGCUUCACCUCUUGUUCUGCCAUUGGUCAGGAGAAUAGGCUUGAGUCUGGUGUUUUGUUUAUAGAGGAAGUAACUGUUUGUUUGAUGUGCCCUGGAGCCAACCAGUGAAUCACAUUAAUAAUUCAGAUAAUCAGACAAAUUAGCUAGAGGAGGAACUGACCGAAUUGCUUCGAUACUAACGAGUAUCGAAAAAUGCUUUGUCUUUCAGUACCAAAUUUCGAUACCUCAGGAGUAAAUCUCAUCAGUGUCAGUGAGCCAAUAAGCAUGCAGCAUGCUUGUACCAAGAUCUAAUAAUUGAUCUAAUGAUUGUUUACACGUCGUAGAGGCAUGCAGGAAAAACACUACGUUACGCUCAGAGACAGGGCUCAUUGUUUGUUUUGUUUUUUUACUGCCAGCUGCUUACAUGCACAGAUAAGUACUUUAUGCUGCUUGUUAGCUAGGCAGUGCAGUGCACAGUCUGUAUCUGCUCGUCGGUAAGUCCGUCCACUGGGAUGAAAGCCCUGGCGCAUCAUCUCCUCGCCACCGUGGGGAUGGAUUACUUGGAGCUGAGGCGGAGAGCAUUUCUGAUGGCAAACAUGGUGUUGCUUACAGAUGGACAGGUAAACGGAGAGAAAUACUCCUGAAGUUGACACGGUGGAUGGUUGUCAGACCUGGGCUAGCUGCUCUUUAGCACAGAGAAAGUAAGAGGUCUCACUCUGCCACUAUUUCCCAGUACCACAAACGUCACCCACACAGUACUCCCCUUCUUCUUUGGGUUAGGCAGACUAGAAGCUACAAUGAAGUAUUACUGCCAUACUGUUUGUUUUUAAUGUUCCUUUUGACAGUUCCAGAGUUCCUUUUGUGGAGAUGGGUAAACCUUACAGAAGGACAAUAAUCAGUACAGCACUUCACCAAUCAGGCCUUUUAUGGUAGAGUGGCCAGAGGGAAGCCAUUCCUCACUAAAAGACACAUGACAGCCCACUGGGAGUUUGCCAAAAAGCACCUGAACGACUCUCAGACCAUGACCUCUGGUCUGAUGAAAUGAAGAUUGAACUAUUUGGCCACAAUUCCCAACAGCGUGUGUAGGCCUGUCGCAAUUUUGAGCUGACCAUGAUUAUUUUGCAAAAUCAUUAGAUUCCACGGGGAAGGGAAGUUUUGCAGUUGAAUAUUAUUAUUAUUAUUAUUAUUAUUAUUAUUAUUUACAUGUUGAUAUUUAGUCAUAUUUUUUCUUAAUGUUAUGUUUAAUCCAGGUCCACUCUGAAUAAUUACAAUUUUGUUUACCUGUAAUACAAAAUAGCCAAAGUCACACUUAACACUUUAGGACAGUGAGUAGCUGCUGGUGCAGAGUGGAGCUGCACAUCUCCACCACCAUGUUGUGGACUUGUGGAAUAUACAGAGGUAAUCGCUGGCCUUUUCUUAUUGUUUUAAUCAAAGUUUAUUUGUGUAUGACGUAAAA
Molecule: long non-coding RNA, 8174 nt
Organism: Siniperca chuatsi (mandarin fish)
Lineage: Eukaryota; Metazoa; Chordata; Actinopteri; Centrarchiformes; Sinipercidae
Exons: 3
Source: RefSeq, a predicted model, not a curated record